This 484-nucleotide ribosomal RNA is filed under the name uncultured bacterium. Its description in RNAcentral is "partial 16S ribosomal RNA". It matches the Rfam family "Bacterial small subunit ribosomal RNA", at positions 30 to 507 of the family's 1533-position model. The record is from RNAcentral.
AUUGAACGCUGGCGGCAGGCCUAACACAUGCAAGUCGAGCGGAUGGAGGGAGCUUGCUCCUGGAUUCAGCGGCGGACGGGUGAGUAAUGCCUAGGAAUCUGCCUGGUAGUGGGGGAUAACGUCCGGAAACGGGCGCUAAUACCGCAUACGUCCUGAGGGAGAAAGUGGGGGAUCUUCGGACCUCACGCUAUCAGAUGAGCCUAGGUCGGAUUAGCUAGUUGGUGGGGUAAAGGCCUACCAAGGCGACGAUCCGUAACUGGUCUGAGAGGAUGAUCAGUCACACUGGAACUGAGACACGGUCCAGACUCCUACGGGAGGCAGCAGUGGGGAAUAUUGGACAAUGGGUGAAAGCCUGAUCCAGCCAUGCCGCGUGUGUGAAGAAGGUCUUCGGAUUGUAAAGCACUUUAAGUUGGGAGGAAGGGCAGUAAGUUAAUACCUUGCUGUUUUGACGUUACCAACAGAAUAAGCACCGGCUAACUUCGUG